RNAcentral lists this ribosomal RNA (253 nucleotides) under uncultured bacterium. RNAcentral's name for it is "partial 16S ribosomal RNA". It matches the Rfam family "Bacterial small subunit ribosomal RNA", at positions 524 to 776 of the family's 1533-position model. The record is from RNAcentral.
UACGGAGGAUCCAAGCGUUAUCCGGAUUUAUUGGGUUUAAAGGGUGCGUAGGCGGCGUUGUAAGUCAGUGGUGAAAGUUUGCAGCUUAACUGUAAAAUUGCCAUUGAUACUGCAGUGCUUGAGUAUAGAUGAGGUGGGCGGAAUGUGUCAUGUAGCGGUGAAAUGCAUAGAUAUGACACAGAACACCGAUUGCGAAGGCAGCUCACUAAACUAUAACUGACGCUGAGGCACGAAAGCGUGGGGAUCAAACAGG